GAUGAACGCUAGCGGCAGGCCUAAUACAUGCAAGACGAACGGUAAGUUGAGUAGCAAUACUUAGCCAAGAGUGUCGUACGGGUGCGUAACAUGUAUGCAACCUACCCUAUACAGGAGGAUAGCCUAGGGAAACCUGGAUUAACCCUUCAUAGUAUUAUUGGAUGGCAUCAUUUGAUAAUUAAAACUGAGGUGGUAUAGGAUGGGCAUGCGUCUGAUUAGUUAGUUGGCGGGGUAAUGGCCCACCAAGACGAUGAUCAGUAGGGGUUCUGAGAGGAAGAUCCCCCACACUGGCACUGAGAUACGGGCCAGACUCCUACGGGAGGCAGCAGUAGGGAGUAUUGGUCAAUGGAUGCAAGUCUGAACCAGCCAUGCCGCGUGCAGGAAGAAGGCCUUCU
This 395-nucleotide ribosomal RNA is filed under the name uncultured bacterium. Its description in RNAcentral is "bacterial SSU rRNA". It matches the Rfam family "Bacterial small subunit ribosomal RNA", at positions 28 to 420 of the family's 1533-position model. The record is from RNAcentral.